This 468-nucleotide ribosomal RNA is filed under the name uncultured bacterium. RNAcentral describes it as "partial 16S ribosomal RNA". It matches the Rfam family "Bacterial small subunit ribosomal RNA", at positions 28 to 507 of the family's 1533-position model. The record is from RNAcentral.
GACGAACGCUGGCGGCGUGCUUAACACAUGCAAGUCGAACGGAAAGGCCCUGCUUUUGUGGGGUGCUCGAUUGGCGAACGGGUGAGUAACACGUGAGUAACCUGCCCUUGACUUUGGGAUAACUUCAGGAAACUGGGGCUAAUACCGGAUAGGAGCUCCUGCUGCAUGGUGGGGGUUGGAAAGUUUCGGCGGUUGGGGAUGGACUCGCGGCUUAUCAGCUUGUUGGUGGGGUAGUGGCUUACCAAGGCUUUGACGGGUAGCCGGCCUGAGAGGGUGACCGGCCACAUUGGGACUGAGGUACGGCCCAGACUCCUACGGGAGGCAGCAGUGGGGAAUAUUGCACAAUGGGCGGAAGCGUGAUGCGGAAACGCCGCGUGCGGGAUGACGGCCUUCGGGUUGUAAACCGCUUUCGCCUGUGACGAAGCGUGAGUGACGGUAAUGGGUAAAGAAGCACCGGCUAACUACGUG